AUUGAACGCUGGCGGCAUGCCUUACACAUGCAAGUCGAACGGCAGCACGGGAGCAAUCCUGGUGGCGAGUGGCGAACGGGUGAGUAAUAUAUCGGAACGUGCCCAGUCGUGGGGGAUAACGUAGCGAAAGCUACGCUAAUACCGCAUACUAUCUAUGGAUGAAAGCGGGGGAUCGCAAGACCUCGCGCGAUUGGAGCGGCCGAUAUCAGAUUAGGUAGUUGGUGAGGUAAAGGCUCACCAAGCCGACGAUCUGUAGCUGGUCUGAGAGGACGACCAGCCACACUGGGACUGAGACACGGCCCAGACUCCUACGGGAGGCAGCAGUGGGAAUUUUGGACAAUGGGCGCAAGCCUGAUCCAGCAAUGCCGCGUGCAGGAUGAAGGCCUUCGGGUUGUAAACUGCUUUGUACGGAACGAAACGGUGAGCUCUAAUACAGUUUGCUAAUGACGGUACCGUAAGAAUAAGCACCGGCUAACUACGUG
This 482-nucleotide ribosomal RNA is filed under the name uncultured bacterium. Its description in RNAcentral is "bacterial SSU rRNA". It matches the Rfam family "Bacterial small subunit ribosomal RNA", at positions 30 to 507 of the family's 1533-position model. The record is from RNAcentral.